Molecule: long non-coding RNA, 320 nt
Filed under: Coffea arabica (coffee)
Lineage: Eukaryota; Viridiplantae; Streptophyta; Magnoliopsida; Gentianales; Rubiaceae
Description: long non-coding RNA (CARA_LNC003526)
Source: RNAcentral
GGACUAAGCCAUCAACUUUCUUGAUAUUUCAAGGUUCAUGUCUAGCAAUCCUUUCUUUGUUCUUGAUUAUGCUAAAUUAGAGACUUGUGAUGGCUAAAGAGAUGGUUUGAUGGAUUAUAUUUUGAGUUGUGGUUGAAUGGAUGAACUUUUAUUAUUUUUGGGGAUUUUUCUGUUUUACUAUGAACAUGAUUGUGUGGCUAUAUAUGAUGAUUGGAAAUGGUAUAUAAUGAUUCUAGAAGGUGGAAAAAGUGGAAGAUUGCAAGUAAUUUCUGUUUUGGAAGAAAUUUCAGAAAAUUAGGUUUUGUGAAGGAACAUUCUGU